RNAcentral lists this ribosomal RNA (489 nucleotides) under uncultured Flavobacteriales bacterium. RNAcentral's name for it is "bacterial SSU rRNA". It matches the Rfam family "Bacterial small subunit ribosomal RNA", at positions 523 to 1016 of the family's 1533-position model. Lineage: Bacteria; Pseudomonadati; Bacteroidota; Flavobacteriia; Flavobacteriales. The record is from RNAcentral.
AUACGGAGGAUCCAAGCGUUAUCCGGAUUCAUUGGGUUUAAAGGGUCCGUAGGCGGAUUUUUAAGUCAGUGGUGAAAGCCGACAGCUCAACUGUCGAACUGCCAUUGAUACUGGAAAUCUUGAGUACAAAUGAAGUAGGCGGAAUGAGUCAUGUAGCGGUGAAAUGCAUAGAUAUGACUCAGAACACCGAUUGCGAAGGCAGCUUACUAACAUGUAACUGACGCUGAGGGACGAAAGCGUGGGGAGCGAACAGGAUUAGAUACCCUGGUAGUCCACGCCGUAAACGAUCAUCACUCGCUGUUGGCGAUAUACUGUCAGCGGCCAAGCGAAAGUAUUAAGUGAUGCACCUGGGGAUACGCCGGCAACGGUGAACUCAAAGGAAUUGACGGGGGCCCGCACAAGCGGUGGAGCAUGUGGUUUAAUUCGAUGCAACGCGAAGAACCUUACCUACUCUUGACAUACUAGAAACUUUUCAGAGAUGAAUUGGUG